Trifolium pratense (red clover) is the source of this 2991-nucleotide RNA transcript. It is a transcript of the gene named conserved oligomeric Golgi complex subunit 2, with no coding region annotated. The transcript has 13 exons. The record is from RefSeq and is a predicted model, not a curated record. Lineage: Eukaryota; Viridiplantae; Streptophyta; Magnoliopsida; Fabales; Fabaceae.
AUAUAUAUAUCGGUGUUAAAAUUGCCGGUGGAGAUUAGAAAAAGAAAAGGGACUAUUGAGACUAUUCCCAGUGCAAGCAGUUUACAGUUAUAUCGUGAAUUUUCCAUUCCUAACUAAACAAAUUCAAUCUCUCCAAAAUUUCUCAACAACUUAACAAUGGCGGAUCCAAUCCCAGCGCAUCACAGAUCCGCCACCAACCUCUUCUCCGAUCCACUCGACUCCCACCCUCUAUGGUUCAAACCCGCAUCAUUCCUCUCCCCUGAUUUCGAUUCCGAAUCCUAUAUUUCCGAACUCCGAACCUUCGUCCCCUUCGAUACUCUCCGUUCAGAGCUUAACAACUAUCUCUCAUCCCUAAAUCACGAACUCAUUGAUCUCAUCAAUCGCGAUUACACUGAUUUCGUUAAUCUUAGUACUAAGCUUGUCGAUGUUGAUGCUGCUGUGGUGCGGAUGCGAGCACCGCUCGUUGAACUUCGAGAGAAGAUCGAACAGUUUAGAGGAUCUGUUGAUGUUUCGCUUGUUGCUAUAAAGAAUGGUUUGAAGCAAAGAUCUGAAGCUGCUUCUGCGAGAGAGACUUUGGAGCUUCUUCUUGAUACGUUUCAUGUGGUUUCCAAGGUUGAGAAACUAAUAAAGGAGCUGCCUAGUGUACCUUCAGACUGGUCAAAUGGAGACGUGAAUUUGUACGACAAAAAUUCAUUGAGCAAUGGCGUUUCUGUGCAGCCUGUUGAGAAUGGGACAAGUGUUAGAGAGACACAAAGUAUGUUGCUGGAAAGAAUUGCCAGUGAGAUGAACCGACUAAAGUUCUAUGUUACACAUGCAAAGGACCUGCCUUUUAUUGAGAAUAUGGAGAAGAGGAUUCAAAAUGCAAGCCUAUUAGUAGAUGCAAGCUUGGGACAUUGCUUUGUUGAUGGUCUAGAGCACCGGGAUGCAACUGCAAUUUACAAUUGCUUACGUGCAUAUGCUGCCAUUGAUAACACCAAGAAUGCAGAAGAAACUUUCCGAGUCACUGUUGUGGCUCCAUUGAUACAGAAGAUUAUCCCACAUGGGCCAUUGGCUGUGGCUGCUGGUUCAUCUGGGGAUGGGCUUGAAAAUGAUUAUCAAUUAAUUAAGGAGUGCAUUUAUAAAGACUGCAAAUUUUUAUUGGAUAUUUCUUCAGCCGAAAAUUCAGGUUUGCACGUAUUUGACUUCUUGGCUAAUUCAAUCCUUAAAGAGGUUCUCUUUGCUAUUCAGAAGGGAAAACCAGGUGCAUUUUCUCCUGGAAGACCAACAGAGUUCUUGAAAAAUUACAAAUCAAGCUUGGAGUUCUUGGCUUGUCUAGAAGGCUAUUGUCCGUCCAGGUCUGCUGUUGCUAAAUUUCGAUCCGAAGCAAUCUAUACCGAGUUCAUGAAGCAAUGGAAUCUUGGAGUAUAUUUUUCUUUGAGGUUUCAGGAAAUAGCAGGGUCUUUAGAUUCUGUGCUGACAACAUCCAGUCUUGUCCCUGUUCAAAGUUUAGAUCCCAGCGAAGCAAAUUAUCAAGACUUAACACUAAAACAAAGUGUAACACUGUUGGAGAGUUUGAGAUUGUGCUGGAGAGAAGAUGUUCUUGUCCUUUCUUGUUCCGACAAGUUCCUUCGCCUAUCCUUGCAGCUUCUUUCUAGAUACUCAAAUUGGCUGUCAUCUGGACUGACUGCACGCAAGAAUCAUAAUACAAGCACCGGCACCGGGCGCGAAUGGGCCGUUUCAGCUGUCAUAGAUGACUUUAUCUUUGUUAUUCAUGAUAUAAGAUGCUUGGAGGAGCAUGUUCAUGGUGAUUACUUACAACAUGUGGUUCAGGCGUUAUCUUCCUGCUCCCCCGAUGUUCUUGAAUCAGUAAGGCAGAGCAUUUUACAAAGUGGUCAAUCCUUGAAAUCUUUAGAACCUUUGGUCAUCAAAGCAGUGGUGGAGUCACUGGUGGAAAAAUCAGUCGAGGACUUGAGACAGAUGAAGGGGAUAACAGCAACUUACAGGAUGACUAAUAAGCCUCUACCUGUUAGGCAUUCACCAUAUGUUGCGGGAGUAUUACGUCCCCUAAAGACUUUUUUGGAUGGGGAAAGAACCUCUAGAUAUUUGGCAAGUGAAACCAAGAAAGAAAUACUCCUUUGUGCUGCAACUGAGAUUACUGACCGUUAUUAUGAAUUAGCUUCCGACCUUGUUAGUGUGGCAAGAAAGACAGAGUCUUCUCUUCAGAAAAUUAGGCAGAGUGCUCAGAGACGAGCCGGGGCAAGUUCAGACAUCGCCGAUAAUAAUGUUUCUGAACCUGACAAAAUGUGUAUGCAGUUGUUCCUUGAUAUUCAGGAGUAUGCCCGUAACCUAGCUGCCCUAGGGGUUGAAGCAGUUAAUAUUGCAUCCUAUCGUUCAUUAUGGCAGUGUGUGGCUCCAGCAGAUAAGCAGAACACAAUUAAAUUAUAAGAGUUUGCAUCUUUGGAGUCAAUGCGGCCUGUAGAUUGAUUGCUUUAUUGUUUGGUCAAGAUUUUCUUGUGUAACUUAAGGAUGAAAUCUUAUAAUACACAAAUCACAGAUUGAUAUAUAUCUUGUAUACGCUUCAUGUUUGUUUGGCUUUGGUAUCAAACACUAGUGCAAUUUGCCAAGCGUCGAAUUAACGUUUCAUUGUGAUCUAGGCAGAAAGACUACCAAAUCGUGAAAUUUGAAGUUUGGUUUGGGACAACAUGAUCUAUCUCCUUUGGCUUUUUUUAGGUAGUUUAUGUUCGAUUCGGUGCUAUUUUUAUAGGAUCUAAUUGAUUUGAAAGCAUGAUUGGUAUACAUUAUAAGUGUAAAGUAAAAUACAUAUAUCCUUUUUUUUUUUUGACAAAAACAUAUAUCCAAUUAUACUUCAUCAUUAUGUCAUUUUAUUAUAUUAAUUUUAAAAUAUCUCUACAAUCAUCUAUGUGGUAAAAUGUAAUUUUAUGCGUGUAAAACUUAUAUUACCAAUGAUAUUUGGGUCUAGUGGAAGGAGCUAGACUUCCACAAUGUGGUGAA